This 65-nucleotide ribosomal RNA is filed under the name Escherichia coli. RNAcentral describes it as "partial 16S ribosomal RNA". It matches the Rfam family "Bacterial small subunit ribosomal RNA", at positions 1 to 65 of the family's 1533-position model. Lineage: Bacteria; Pseudomonadati; Pseudomonadota; Gammaproteobacteria; Enterobacterales; Enterobacteriaceae. The record is from RNAcentral. RNAcentral also lists the same sequence under 10 other names.
UAAUUGAAGAGUUUGAUCAUGGCUCAGAUUGAACGCUGGCGGCAGGCCUAACACAUGCAAGUCGA